GGAAAAUGUUUUUUGGGCGAUGGAAUACUUGUGUCCACCAAAUUUGUUAAUAAUGGUAGCAACGGAAGGUUUUUUGUCAUGAGUGAGAUAGAUUGGUGCACAAUGAAUAUUGAUGAUAUUGUGGAUUGCAACAUGAUUCUGAUACCACCUUUUGCUGUGUGGCCAGUAUAUUUUGAGCUAAAAAAUGGUGAAUGUGUUGAAUUUCAAAUUUAUUUUUCUCCAGAGUCAUAUGGCAUGCAGGUAAUUUCAGCUCUUUACAAGGUGUGUUCUGAAGGUUAAAGAAUUUGCUAUAAUUAUGGAAGUUCUCAACUGUUCUCAUCAGUCUUUUGAGAUUAUUAUAGUCAGCAAUUUUUAUAGGUGGAUAAAUUGUACAUAAUUUGCGACAACCAUG
This 391-nucleotide unclassified non-coding RNA is filed under the name Athalia rosae (coleseed sawfly). Its description in RNAcentral is "misc RNA ENSAEAG00005006212.1". Lineage: Eukaryota; Metazoa; Arthropoda; Insecta; Hymenoptera; Athaliidae. The record is from RNAcentral.